RNAcentral lists this ribosomal RNA (253 nucleotides) under uncultured bacterium. RNAcentral's name for it is "partial 16S ribosomal RNA". It matches the Rfam family "Bacterial small subunit ribosomal RNA", at positions 524 to 776 of the family's 1533-position model. The record is from RNAcentral.
UACGUAGGGUGCGAGCGUUGUCCGGAAUUAUUGGGCGUAAAGAGCUUGUAGGCGGUCUGUCGCGUCUGCUGUGAAAAUCCGGGGCUCAACCCCGGACUUGCAGUGGGUACGGGCAGACUAGAGUGUGGUAGGGGAGACUGGAAUUCCUGGUGUAGCGGUGAAAUGCGCAGAUAUCAGGAAGAACACCCGUGGCGAAGGCGGGUCUCUGGGCAGUAACUGACGCUGAGGAGCGAAAGCGUGGGGAGCGAACAGG